This 254-nucleotide ribosomal RNA is filed under the name uncultured bacterium. RNAcentral's name for it is "partial 16S ribosomal RNA". It matches the Rfam family "Bacterial small subunit ribosomal RNA", at positions 524 to 776 of the family's 1533-position model. The record is from RNAcentral.
UACGUAGGGGGCAAGCGUUGUCCGGAUUUAUUGGGCGUAAAGAGCUCGUAGGUGGUUCGGUAAGUCGGAUGUGAAAUCUCCAGGCUCAACCUGGAGGGGUCAUUCGAUACUGCCGUGACUAGAGUUCGGUAGGGGAGUGUGGAAUUCCUGGUGGAGCGGUGAAAUGCGCAGAUAUCAGGAAGAACACCAAUGGCGAAGGCAGCUCUCUGGGACGGUACUGACGCUGAGACGCGAAAGCGUGGGGAGCGAACAGG